CACGCCGUAAACGAUGGGUGCUAGGUGCUGCGGGCUUUGACCCCUGCUGUGCCGUAGCUAACGCAUUAAGCACCCCGCCUGGGAAGUACGGCCGCAAGGCUAAAACUCAAAGGAAUUGACGGGGGCCCGCACAAGCGGUGGAGCAUGUGGUUUAAUUCGACGCAACGCGAAGAACCUUACCUGGGCUAGAAAACAUAGGAACCCUACUGAAAAGCGGGGGUGCUCUUCGGAGAACCUGUGGUUAGGUGC
RNAcentral lists this ribosomal RNA (249 nucleotides) under uncultured bacterium. RNAcentral's name for it is "partial 16S ribosomal RNA". It matches the Rfam family "Bacterial small subunit ribosomal RNA", at positions 796 to 1041 of the family's 1533-position model. The record is from RNAcentral.